CGUUAGCUCAGUCGGCAGAGCACCUGCCUUUUAAGCAGGGUGUCCCGGGUUCGAAUCCCGG
This 61-nucleotide transfer RNA is filed under the name bovine gut metagenome. It matches the Rfam family "tRNA", at positions 8 to 63 of the family's 71-position model. From Rfam's summary of the family: Transfer RNA (tRNA) molecules are approximately 80 nucleotides in length. Their secondary structure includes four short double-helical elements and three loops (D, anti-codon, and T loops). The record is from RNAcentral.